Molecule: non-coding RNA, 1638 nt
Organism: Electrophorus electricus (electric eel)
Lineage: Eukaryota; Metazoa; Chordata; Actinopteri; Gymnotiformes; Gymnotidae
Source: RefSeq, a predicted model, not a curated record
CGCCCAAGACGACUCCAACUUGUAGCCUGGUAACCAGUAACCUAGAAUCAAACGCGGGAAAUAACGAGAUCUUGUAAAACACAAGGAAAGCUUACUUCGCUGUUUUGUCACAGCGUAUGGACGUCAACAGUUUCUCCUCAUAAUGAUAUCAAUGUCUGGAUUUCACGAAGCAACAAAGGAAAAAUCUAUUAAUAGAAAUCCGAGUUGGGUCAAAGUGAGGACGCAAAGUUAAACUAACGAGAGCCAGUGUCUCGAGAACAGUGUGGCGCCACACCGUGUAUUUCAGGAUGCAUUGUCCUGCUGGAAGAAGCCACUUUCAUAAGGGAAUACUAUUGCCAUGAAGGGGUGUACUUGGUCUGCAACAAUGUUUAGGUCUGUUCCUUCACUACCUGUGCUUUCCCUGGGACGACUGGAGUAAGCUGCCUCGCUACCAUGGAACACAGAUGCAGCACAGACAGUGGCCAGGCAGACCCCGUUUCCAUCGUCAGCUGUCUUGCUUGUGCGGCAGAAAUGUGAUGUAAUACAAGAUCAGAAACGGAGAGUGUGAACAUGCAUACACUGCUGCAGUACUGCAUAUUUCUUCAUUAACCCUCCAGCAGUAGUACCGUCACUUGUGAUUAUCCCACACAUGUAAACAUUCAUAAUAGAGGCAGACCCUGCAGUCCAUCCUUACAAACCCAAGGGCUUUAAAGUUCAUUCAAAGUCCAUCUAUUGCUUUUAACUGGUACAUAUAAAAGUCAUGGCAUGUUACUGUCUGACAGCUCAGAUAAAAAUUUAUAGCAGUUUUUUUACCCGUUGCCUCAAAGUGGAGAGACAAGAUAGUUAGACCGAAAAAUUUAAAAUUAAGAGACUUAAAGAAUAACAAUGACCUUUUAUAGUCAUUUUGUGCUACUAAAGAAACUGUUUUGCAACUUAAUACUAUUAUUAUAUUGUUCACUUUUUGGCAUAAAUGUAAUAAUAUAAUAAUUUGUAAAUAAUUUACAUUAGCUGAUUUACAAAUUUUACUUAUAUUUGAAAAAUAAACAAACUUAUUAUUGUAUGAAAAUCAUUUGUAACAUAGCAAAAUUAAUGACCAAUCCAAAUGUUAACCAGGCACUGCCUGGUGCUCUACACUGCACCAAAUGUCAGUAAUGAUAGAAGCUGCCCUCAUGUUGCUACUGAUGUAAUCACUCAUUCAAAUGUAAACAUGAGAAUAACUACAGGAGAACAAAGUGAUACAAUGCUUGCACUCAAGAUCAGGUUGGAAAUCAUUACAAAAAUGUAGAAAUAUUAAUAACAAGUGUGUAAAACUAGAAUUUUCGCAGUAAAAAAAAAACCCACACAAGAUGAAUUACCAAGCUACAUCUCAUGAAAUAAGCAAUUAAAAGUUUUGGUGUAAUGGGUAUGAUGCACAUUUAAUAGAAAUUACUUUAUUAUUUACUAUUAUGUACAAUUGAAAAUAAAUUCACAAUAGAAUCAUGGAGGCAAUAGUUGUUCAUAGUAUUACAUAGUGAAUUUUAUAAAACUCAUUUUUUUUAAACACUUUUUAAAAAUCUUUUAAUGCUGCAUCCCUACAGUGUUUAGGUAUUACUGACCAAAGUGAGUGUGAGAGGGCCAAGAUUGUAGUUGGCUGGAGGAGGUUUAAAAAAAAAAAAAAAA